Omnitrophica WOR_2 bacterium is the source of this 71-nucleotide non-coding RNA. The record is from Rfam. NCBI's taxonomy places the organism in Bacteria, Pseudomonadati, Candidatus Omnitrophota.
GCGGGCGUAGUUCAAUGGCAGAACGAUAGCCUUCCAAGCUGUAUAUGUGAGUUCGAUUCUCAUCGCCCGCU